RNAcentral lists this ribosomal RNA (693 nucleotides) under uncultured Actinomycetes bacterium. RNAcentral describes it as "bacterial SSU rRNA". It matches the Rfam family "Bacterial small subunit ribosomal RNA", at positions 363 to 1050 of the family's 1533-position model. The record is from RNAcentral. Lineage: Bacteria; Bacillati; Actinomycetota; Actinomycetes.
UCUGUGCAAUGGCGAAAGCCUGACGCAGCGACGCCGCGUGAGGGAGGAAGGCCUUCGGGUUGUAAACCUCUUUCAGGAGGGACGAAGCUACUCGGGUGAAUAGCCCAGAGGGUGACGGUACCUCCAGAAGAAGCCCCGGCUAACUACGUGCCAGCAGCCGCGGUAAUACGUAGGGGGCAAGCGUUGUCCGGAUUUACUGGGCGUAAAGAGCGUGUAGGCGGCCAAACAGGUCCGUUGUGAAAACUGGAGGCUUAACCUCCAGACGUCGACGGAAACCGUGUGGCUAGAGUCCGGAAGAGGAGAGUGGAAUUCCUGGUGUAGCGGUGAAAUGCGCAGAUAUCAGGAAGAACACCAAUGGCGAAGGCAGCUCUCUGGGACGGUACUGACGCUGAGACGCGAAAGCGUGGGGAGCGAACAGGAUUAGAUACCCUGGUAGUCCACGCCGUAAACGAUGGGUGCUAGGUGUGGGAGGUGUCGACUCCUUCCGUGCCGUAGCUAACGCAUUAAGCACCCCGCCUGGGGAGUACGGCCGCAAGGCUAAAACUCAAAGGAAUUGACGGGGCCCCGCACAAGCAGCGGAGCAUGUGGUUUAAUUCGAUGCAACGCGAAGAACCUUACCAGGGCUUGACAUGCACUGGAAAUCCGUAGAAAUACGGCCCUCCUUCGGGACCAGUGCACAGGUGGUGCAUGGCU